Molecule: non-coding RNA, 78 nt
Organism: Schistosoma mansoni
Lineage: Eukaryota; Metazoa; Platyhelminthes; Trematoda; Strigeidida; Schistosomatidae
Source: Rfam
AGCCUUUUGGAUCCCUGCUGAGAUUUUGUCAGAUACCAGCCCAUUAGGGCUGAUCAGACUCCCAAGAUAAGUGGAGUU